GCUCAACCGUAAACCUUUACUUACACUUAAACCGCCAGGGAACUACGAGCUAAGCUUAAAACCCAAAGGACUUGACGGUACCCCACAUCCCCCUAGAGGAGCCUGUCCUACAAUCGAUAACCCACGUUUAACCUCACCACUUCUAGUUAAUCAGCCUGUAUACCUCCGUCGUCAGCUUACCCUGUGAGCGCAAAUUAGUGAGCCCAAUGCUUAUUUAUCAGUACGUCAGGUCAAGGUGCAGCACAUGAAAUGGGAAGAGAUGGGCUACACUUUCUACCCUAGAAAAAACGAAAAACUACCUAUGAAAUCAAGUUAGAAGGCGGAUUUAGCAGUAAAAAAAAGUCAAAACAUUAUUUUUAACCUGGCACUGGAGUGCGU
RNAcentral lists this ribosomal RNA (378 nucleotides) under Nectophryne cf. batesii HCL-2014. Its description in RNAcentral is "partial 12S ribosomal RNA". It matches the Rfam family "Bacterial small subunit ribosomal RNA", at positions 794 to 1384 of the family's 1533-position model. The record is from RNAcentral. Lineage: Eukaryota; Metazoa; Chordata; Amphibia; Anura; Bufonidae.